CGGUGGAUGAUGUGGUUUAAUUCGAUGCAACGCGAAAACCUUACCCACCUUUGACAUGUACGGAACCCUUUAGAGAUAGAGGGGUGCUCGAAAGAGAGCCGUAACACAGGUGCUGCAUGGCUGUCGUCAGCUCGUGUCGUGAGAUGUUGGGUUAAGUCCCGCAACGAGCGCAACCCUUGUCAUUAGUUGCUACAUUCAGUUGGGCACUCUAAUGAGACUGCCGGUGACAAGCCGGAGGAAGGUGGGGAUGACGUCAAGUCCUCAUGGCCCUUAUAGGUGGGGCUACACACGUCAUACAAUGGCUGGUACAAAGGGUUGCCAACCCGCGAGGGGGAGCCAAUCCCAUAAAGCCAGUCGUAGUCCGGAUCGUAGUCUGCAACUCGACUGCGUGAAGUCGGAAUCGCUAGUAAUCGUGGAUCAGAAUGUCACGGUGAAUACGUUCCCGGGUCUU
Molecule: ribosomal RNA, 451 nt
Filed under: uncultured Rhodoferax sp.
Lineage: Bacteria; Pseudomonadati; Pseudomonadota; Betaproteobacteria; Burkholderiales; Comamonadaceae
Description: bacterial SSU rRNA
Rfam family: Bacterial small subunit ribosomal RNA
Source: RNAcentral